AAACCAGCUUCUCGGCGCCAUUUUGUCUCGGCAGCGGUGGCCGUAGCUCCAUCGCAUUUUAUGUUUCUGGCGAGAAGGGAACGGAGUUUUCAUCAGGUAGAUUGGUUUUUGUGCAGCCGUCCUCCACCGUUUCCUCCAGGACAGCACCUAGUCGUGGCCGGAAGAGUCUCAGAGCUGUCAGAAAGAAUAAGACUGAUUUUAUGGGAAAAUUAAGCAAAUGCUCCAGUUUGAAAAACCUGGAUCUGCGAUCUGUUUGUGGAUUCAAUUACUGGACUUGUCAACUCUGCCAGUGUACGUGCCAUUUCUCUUCCACUAUGAGUGGACCGAUUGUAUUGCACAUUUGUCUGGCUUUCUGUAGCCUUCUGCUUUUCAACAUUGCCACACAAUGUCUGGCCUUCCCCAAAAUAGAAAGGAGGGAGAUAGCACAUGUUCAUGCGGAAAAAGGGCAGUCUGAUAAGAUGAACACUGAUGACCUAGAAAAUAGCUCCAUUACCUCAAAGCAGACUCCCCAACUGGUGGUCUCUGAAGAUCCAAUGAUGGUGUCAGCAGGACCAUCGGCAACAUCAUUA
Molecule: small RNA, 569 nt
Filed under: Pongo abelii (Sumatran orangutan)
Lineage: Eukaryota; Metazoa; Chordata; Mammalia; Primates; Hominidae
Description: processed transcript
Source: RNAcentral